Molecule: ribosomal RNA, 605 nt
Filed under: Micronychus sp. UPOL MT0068
Lineage: Eukaryota; Metazoa; Arthropoda; Insecta; Coleoptera; Lycidae
Description: partial 16S ribosomal RNA
Rfam family: Bacterial large subunit ribosomal RNA (bases 379-537)
Source: RNAcentral
CACGUCCUUUAGAUUAAAAUUUAAGGUUUGGUCUGCUCAAUGAGGUUUUAAAUUGCCGCAGUAUUUUAACUGUGCGAAGGUAGCAUAAUAAUUAGUUUCUUAAUUGGAAGCUGGAAUGAAUGAUUGGACGAGAAAAUUACUGUCUCUUGGGAAGGGUUUAUUUAAUUUUAUUAUUAAGUUAAAAAGCUUAAAUUUGAGUAAAAGACGAGAAGACCCUAUAGAGUUUAAUAUUUAAGGCUUAUUAAUUUUUAGUAAAUUUAUUUAGUUUUAAUUAUUUAGUUGGGGUGACUUAAAGAUUAAUUAAAUUCUUUAAAUAUUUAAUUAUUGAUAAAUAAUUUUUAAAUCUAGUUUUUUAAAUUUAAAAUAAAUUACCUUAGGGAUAACAGCGUAAUUUUUCUUUAAAGCUCUUAUUGAAAGAAGAUUUUGCGACCUCGAUGUUGGAUUAAAAUUAAUUUUUGGUGCAGUUACUAAAAAAUUGAGUCUGUUCGACUUUUAAAAUUUUACAUGAUCUGAGUUUAAACCGGUGUAAGCCAGGUUGGAUUCUAUCUUUAUUAUUUUUUUAUAUUAUAGUACGAAAGGACCUAAUAUAGAUUAUAGAAUAAUUA